GCCAGAUAUUUUUAGGUGACAGAAAAUAGAACAGUUUUGUGGAGAAUGAAUCAGCUGAAGGAACACUGGUUAUUUCCAUGCAAAUGGCUUUGAAUCAAUUUGUAAUGCUGCAUCCAAGACAUGUAAUAUCACCUGCAAAACUCCCAUGUGUGACUGAAGCAACCUGGUAUGGAAAUCAACAACACCUGUGCUGGAUGAAGCUUGGCCUGUGACUGGAACGUUUAGGAAAGCACAUGUAAGAAGUGAGCACAGCAGACUGUGUAAGGAGCAGACAUAUAUAGGACAACCUUUCAUAAUCACCAGGCAUAUUCAUAAUAAUAAACACUCAUUGACCAAA
Lonchura striata (white-rumped munia) is the source of this 337-nucleotide long non-coding RNA. RefSeq lists it as uncharacterized. Lineage: Eukaryota; Metazoa; Chordata; Aves; Passeriformes; Estrildidae. The record is from RefSeq and is a predicted model, not a curated record.